CAAAGGAGAGGGUUGAGUGGAGGAGACGAACAACGGAGCUUGAGGCGCUCGUCAGCAAUGGUGGGGCCAAACGGUUGAGGAAGGGAGAACGCCGACGAUUAUUGUCGAGGGAAGUUGGUGAGUCCUUGUGAAGAAGAAGACAUGGGGUGCUGAGAGGAAAGGAAGAUCAAGAAGAAGGUGGGACAAAGAGGCCGAAAAUUGAGGGGGCACGGCCUGACUCGACCCGACCCGACCCACAUGAAAAUUCCAAUUAGCUUAGUCAAGGGGACACUUGAAGACUCGAUAAAGUUUUGGGAAGUCUAUGAUCAGGUAAGUAACCAUCUAGAGCAAGUUUUUAAGUAAUUGCUUGUAGGAGUCGGUUUGGAUUUGUGCCCAAAUAAUUUAGUACCGUAUUUUGGAAUGGAUAAAGUUAGUUCAUGGAGGUGGUACUUCGAUAAUGUGUGUGGAUGUACUUUGAUUGUCGUUAUGGUUAUAUACAUUCGUUGGCAUGAAUGUGAAACUGCUGAUAGGCGUUUGAGAUGGUAUGUUUUUAUGUUGAGCUAGAUGGUUAUUAUGUGAUGUAGCAUGGUGACGUGUUGUUGCUGUGGUUCUUUGUUAGGCAUUGGUGUGGGGCUUGGGUAGCCCAUGGUUACCCUUUGUGAGUUGGAUCAUUUAUUAGGUGCUAGUUAUCAUAAGUUAUGAAGCACAUAGAUGACAGUGUACCGUUUU
Molecule: long non-coding RNA, 708 nt
Organism: Cucurbita moschata (crookneck pumpkin)
Lineage: Eukaryota; Viridiplantae; Streptophyta; Magnoliopsida; Cucurbitales; Cucurbitaceae
Exons: 3
Source: RefSeq, a predicted model, not a curated record